RNAcentral lists this ribosomal RNA (497 nucleotides) under uncultured bacterium. RNAcentral's name for it is "partial 16S ribosomal RNA". It matches the Rfam family "Bacterial small subunit ribosomal RNA", at positions 36 to 507 of the family's 1533-position model. The record is from RNAcentral.
UCCUCCCUCUGGCGGCGUGUCUAAUACAUGCAAGUAGAACGCUGAAGAGAGGAGCUUGCUCUUCUUGGAUGAGUUGCGAACGGGUGAGUAACGCGUAGGUAACCUGCCUUGUAGCGGGGGAUAACUAUUGGAAACUAUAGCUAAUACCGCAUAACAAUGGAUGACACAUGUCCUUUAUUUGAAAGGGGCAAUUGCUCCACUACAAGAUGGACCUGCGUUGUAUUAGCUAGUAGGUGAGGUAAUGGCUCACCUAGGCGACGAUACAUAGCCGACCUGAGAGGGUGAUCGGCCACACUGGGACUGAGACACGGCCCAGACUCCUACGGGAGGCAGCAGUAGGGAAUCUUCGGCAAUGGGGGCAACCCUGACCGAGCAACGCCGCGUGAGUGAAGAAGGUUUUCGGAUCGUAAAGCUCGGUUGUAAGUCAAGAACGGUUGUGAGAGUGGAAAGUUCACACUGUGACGGUAGCUUACCAGAAAGGGACGGCUAACUACGUG